ANNCUGCGGCUGCUACCAUGCAGUCGACGGUGAACACGGAGCUUGCUCUGUGGGAUCAGUGGCGAACGGGUGAGUAACACGUGAGCAACCUGCCCCUGACUCUGGGAUAAGCGCUGGAAACGGCGUCUAAUACUGGAUAUGUGACGUGACCGCAUGGUCUGCGUUUGGAAAGAUUUUUCGGUUGGGGAUGGGCUCGCGGCCUAUCAGCUUGUUGGUGAGGUAAUGGCUCACCAAGGCGUCGACGGGUAGCCGGCCUGAGAGGGUGACCGGCCACACUGGGACUGAGACACGGCCCAGACUCCUACGGGAGGCAGCAGUGGGGAAUAUUGCACAAUGGGCGAAAGCCUGAUGCAGCAACGCCGCGUGAGGGAUGACGGCCUUCGGGUUGUAAACCUCUUUUAGCAGGGAAGAAGCGAAAGUGACGGUACCUGCAGAAAAAGCGCCGGCUAACUACGUGCCAGCAGCCGCGGUAAUACGUAGGGCGCAAGCGUUAUCCGGAAUUAUUGGGCGUAAAGAGCUCGUAGGCGGUUUGUCGCGUCUGCUGUGAAAUCCCGAGGCUCAACCUCGGGCCUGCAGUGGGUACGGGCAGACUAGAGUGCGGUAGGGGAGAUUGGAAUUCCUGGUGUAGCGGUGGAAUGCGCAGAUAUCAGGAGGAACACCGAUGGCGAAGGCAGAUCUCUGGGCCGUAACUGACGCUGAGGAGCGAAAGGGUGGGGAGCAAACAGGCUUAGAUACCCUGGUAGUCCACCCCGUAAACGUUGGGAACUAGUUGUGGGGGUCCAUUCCACGGAUUCCGUGACGCAGCUAACGCAUUAAGUUCCCCGCCUGGGGAGUACGGCCGCAAGGCUAAAACUCAAAGGAAUUGACGGGGACCCGCACAAGCGGCGGAGCAUGCGGAUUAAUUCGAUGCAACGCGAAGAACCUUACCAAGGCUUGACAUAUACGAGAACGGGCCAGAAAUGGUCACUCUUUGGGACACUCGUAAACAGGUGUGCAUGGUUGUCGUCAGCUCGUGUCGUGAGAUGUUGGGUAAGUCCGCACGAGCGCACCCUCGUCUAUGUGCAGCACGUAUGUGGUACUCAUGNNUACUGCCGGGUCACUCGAGAGGUGGGAUGACGUCAAUCAUCAUGCCCCUUAUGUCUGGCUCCACGCCAUUGCUACAAUGNCGNACAAGNNCGCAUAUACGGUGAGGUUGANCGAAUCCCANANCGNCCANNNCGGAUUGUGGGUGUGCAAUUGCACCCUUCAUGNNA
Molecule: ribosomal RNA, 1253 nt
Filed under: Bacillota bacterium
Lineage: Bacteria; Bacillati; Bacillota
Description: bacterial SSU rRNA
Rfam family: Bacterial small subunit ribosomal RNA
Source: RNAcentral